This 798-nucleotide ribosomal RNA is filed under the name uncultured bacterium. RNAcentral's name for it is "bacterial SSU rRNA". It matches the Rfam family "Bacterial small subunit ribosomal RNA", at positions 8 to 796 of the family's 1533-position model. The record is from RNAcentral.
AGAGUUUGAUCAUGGCUCAGAGUGAUCGCUGGCGGCGUGCUUAACACAUGCAAGUCGAGCGGAUUUCUGCAGUGUAUCGCAGGAAUUAGCGGCAGACGGGUGAGUAAUACUUGGGCAAUCUGCCCUUGAGUGGGAAACAACCGGCCGAAAGGCUGGUUAAUGUCCCAUAAGACCACAGGAUGGCAUCAUCCAGGGGUCAAAGCUCCGUAAGGGGCGCUUGAGGAGGAGCCUGAGUCCUAUCAUGGUAGUUGGUGAGGUAACGGCUCACCAAGCCUUUGACGGGUAGCCGGCCUGAAAGGGUGAUCGGCCACACUGGCACUGAGACACGGGCCAGACUCCUACGGGAGGCAGCAGUGGGGAAUUUUGGACAAUGGGGGCAACCCUGAUCCAGCGACGCCGCGUGAAGGAUGAAGGUCUUCGGAUUGUAAACUUCUUUUGGAGGGGAUGAAUGUCUGAGUGAAUAACUCAGAGUGACAGUACUCUCGGAAUAAGCCACGGCUAACUACGUGCCAGCAGCCGCGGUAAUACGUAGGUGGCAAGCGAUACUCGGAAUCACUAGGCGUAAAGCGCAGGUAGGCGGUUCAGUAAGUCUUUUGUGAAAGCUCCCGGCUCAACUGGGAGAGGCCAAGGGAAACUACUGGACUAGAGUGUGGUAGGGGAUACUGGAAUUCCUGGUGUAGCGGUGAAAUGCGUAGAUAUCAGGAGGAAUACCUAUGGCGAAAGCAGGUAUCUGGGCCAUCACUGACGCUGAGCUGCGAAAGCUAGGGGAGCAAACAGGAUUAGAUACCCCUGUAGUCC